Molecule: long non-coding RNA, 464 nt
Organism: Alligator mississippiensis (American alligator)
Lineage: Eukaryota; Metazoa; Chordata; Crocodylia; Alligatoridae
Exons: 3
Source: RefSeq, a predicted model, not a curated record
AUGCCCUCCACAGCAGAGUGGCAGACGGUCACAGCCAGGACCGGAGCAGCUCGCAGCGAACCGGUACCAGCUUCUCCAGUCCGACUGGUGAACAGAACAAGAGAUCCACGAGGACCCAGAGGAGGAGGCGACGAGUGCUCGUCAUAGGCGACUCCAUCCUGAGAGGUACGGAAGGACCCAUCUGUCGCCAGGACCCCUCGGCAUGAGAGUGACCGGACGAGGAAGACGGCAGGAGAACUGCAUCCGAGAGACCAACUGGCGGCUUCGGCAGUGGUGUCUUGAGGCAGGCUUCGGCUUCCUGGACAAUGACCCACACAUCACGACGAGGGACAUGCUCAGCUGGGAUGGGCUUCACCUGUCCCCCAAAGGUAAGCAUGUGUUUUCUACUAGGUUGGCGGAUCUCCUCCGGCGGGCUUUAAACUAGGCUCGUCGGGGGGAGGGGAGUACGAGGGCAGGGGAAGCUG